GAAGUUUUGGUGGGGAAGCUGUGUUGUACCAGGACUCUUGCAGUACUGAAGCAAGCAGUGGGUUCUACCUGAACAGGAGCAGGAGGUGCCAGUCCUGGCUUCCACCACGGGCUUCCAGAAAAGGUGGUGGGAAAAUACACCCAGCAUUGUUUACUCACAAAGAAAAGCAGAAAUGAAGGGGCAGAGGAUGUUGGGCUGCUGCUGUGAGAGGUACAGAUGGUCCUGGGAACAAAAGGAGCUGAGUAAACAAACUCUGUUCUGGUGGAUGGAGGAACAGAGAGAGGAACUCUCCUGCUGACAGCAGGCGGCUGGCACAAAGAGCACAGAAAAUCCAACUCUCCUCUCCCAGACUCCCAUAAAAAGAAUAGAGGGCGAUGCGGCCGCUGGAACGGCGCUCUGAAGUGUGUAGUGCCGUGGAGAUAAAAUAACGGUACUUCAUUCAUAUUAUCUGAGCAGAGGAGUUGUGAGGAGCAGUGCUGGGUUGGCUCGUGCUCUGCUUGGCUCCUGCACAUCACUGCUUCCCUGGGCUCGUGGCAAAUGGAGACACUGAGACGCUGUGGUUUAAGGCGCAAACAAAUAAAAUAUCAUUUCGCUAUAUAAAUAAAAUCA
This 609-nucleotide long non-coding RNA is filed under the name Coturnix japonica (Japanese quail). RNAcentral describes it as "lncRNA (ENSCJPG00005001373.1)". The record is from RNAcentral. Lineage: Eukaryota; Metazoa; Chordata; Aves; Galliformes; Phasianidae.